CUAUAUGGUGAUGUCAUCAACGAAAAGUCAUUUUACCAUUAUACCCUCCUAACUCUAAAGAUGCUAAGUUGUUUCUGAUUACCUUUUACAAUCAGUUUAUUUUCUCUCUCUCCGCACCUAAAACACUACCAAAUCACCACUAACCUUAACUCCUCUCAUUGAUUUAUGAGAAUGAGUGAGAUCUAAAAAGAUCUUUGAAUCUGGCAUCGUGAGCGUCAGUAUGAAAUUGUUGCGACAGUGAGCAUGAAGGUGAAAACCUUAUCAACCAGGUAAAGUUCCCAUAUUUUCGUACAUGUUAGGCUUGUAUAGAUCGAAUGAUUCUAGCAUGAUGUAGAGUAUUGUUAAUGUAUUCAUGCAUCUUUGGGUUUUGACGUAGCGAAAAGCGAUAAAUUCGUUCACAAGGAACGAGAUUACCUUGAAUCCACAAAAAAGAGUAGUUUGAAUCAACAUCUGACCUUUUCUUUCAUCUAUUCACAUGGCCAGCCCAUCAGUAUGGAUCAGUAUUUUCUGUUAGCCUAAUUCUUUAUUCUUCUUCAUGCAUCCUUAAUGAGGACACGUGUUUUGUUAUGAAUAUGGUUUUUUGGCCCUAGCGUCACUUUCUAAUUGAUAUAAAUUUUUCCCUCCACACAUGUCAUUGAUGUCAUCAAUCAAUUAUAUCUUGUCACAAAAGUAAAAAUGCAUUUACUUUAAUGAAUCCUAUCACUACGUGUCAGUAUUUAGUUAGUCAAUCAUACUAUGUCACCCAAUAUCCUUGAAGUAUUAAAAUAUUUCUCCUAUAUGAGAUUCAUUCUCUCUUAGGAGUGAUUUCAAUGUAUUGUCGAAUGCACAAUAGAGGAUCAAAACUCAUAUUGUGUAUGUUGUUACGUGUAUGUAUAGCUAGGUUUAAAGACUUACAAUGUCGAAUAAUAGAUUUACUAGGGGUCAAAGUGGAAUUACAAGUAAAGUUUGGUCUUUAUGAAAAAAUACGGUAUAUUAAUAUAAAAUUGGCGUCGGUUUUUGACUUUUUCCGGUGAUCGUUCUGCACAUUUGCAAUCUGAAAGUGAGAUACAAUAUAUAUAUAUAUAUAUAUAGAGGGAGAGAGAGAGAGAGAAUCUGAAAUUGAGUUUUAUUCAGUGGAAGUGAGCCGUUCGGUGCCCUAGCUGAGGAAGACGCCACCAAGAAGACCUCUCAGCUUCUGCUCGCUAUAUUCAGGUGGUGAUGGACUGUCAACUUCUUUCUUUUAACUGGAGCAAGUGCUUAUGUAAAUCCUACCAGACUUGUCAUUUUCGAAUAUUUGGUGCCCAAAAAUAUAUAUAUCGUGGUUCUAAUUAUUUGCGAGCAGGAUCUCUUCAUAAUGCUAUAAGAUGCUCAAUGAAGUCCUAUAGGUUAUCAGAGCUUAGUCAGGUUGAGGUCAAUAGCCUCAAGGCUCGUCCUCGUAUUGAUUUCUCUUCCAUUUUCAGUACGGUUCACCCAAUUGUUGAAGAUGUCCGGAGUAGAGGAGACGCUGCUGUUAAAGAUUAUACUGCACGAUUUGACAAAGUUGAACUAGACACGAUAGUUGAAAAUGUCAGUGAACUUCCAGAUCCAAAGCUUGAUGCAGCUGUUAGAGAAGCAUUUGAUGUAGCGUACAAUAACAUCUACGCAUUUCAUGCUGCGCAAAGAUCGGUUGAGAGAACUGUUGAAAACAUGAAAGGUGUUAAAUGCAAACGAGUGGCAAGGAGCAUUACCUCUGUUGGUCUUUAUGUUCCUGGGGGAACUGCAGUUUUACCUUCGACGGCUCUGAUGCUCUCAGUUCCUGCACAGAUUGCUGGGUGUAAAACUGUUAUUGUUGCAACCCCCCCUGCUCAGGAUGGAAGCAUCUGCAAGGAGGUACUUUAUUGUGCUAAGAAAGCUGGUGUGACACACAUUCUAAAAGCUGGAGGAGCUCAGGCCAUUUCUGCCAUGGCUUGGGGGACUGCAUCAUGCCCAAAGGUCGAGAAGAUAUUUGGGCCUGGAAAUCAAUAUGUCACAGCUGCUAAAAUGAUUCUCCAAAACAGUGAGGCUAUGGUUUCCAUUGACAUGCCUGCGGGACCAUCAGAAGUUCUGGUUAUUGCUGACAAACAUGCCAAUCCUAUUUAUAUAGCCGCAGAUUUGCUUUCCCAGGCUGAGCAUGGUCCUGAUAGUCAAGUUGUUCUUGUAAUUGUCGGGGAUGGUGUGGAUCUAAUGGCUAUUGAGGAUGAAAUCAGCAAGCAAUGUAAAAGCCUACCAAGGGGAGAGUUUGCUUCAAAAGCACUCAGCCACAGCUUCACUGUGUUUGCUCGUGAUAUGCUUGAGGCAGUGUCGUUUUCAAAUUUAUAUGCACCCGAGCAUCUGAUCAUUAAUGUUAAAGAUGCAGAAAAAUGGGAGAAUUUCAUCGAGAAUGCAGGUUCAGUAUUUUUAGGGCAGUGGACUCCGGAGAGUGUAGGAGAUUAUGCAAGUGGGACAAACCAUGUCCUUCCAACUUAUGGUUAUGCACGGAUGUACGGUGGGGUGUCUCUGGACUCCUUCCUGAAGUACAUUACUGUGCAGUCAUUGACGGAGGAAGGCCUGAGGAAGCUUGGUCCUUAUGUUGUAACCAUGGCUGAAGUUGAAGGGCUCGAAGCACACAAGAGAGCUGUUACGCUUAGACUUCAAGGAAAUUGAAGCAAGACAGAAUUCUAGGUUUAAAGGAACACAGAUUGAACUAGUCUGGAGGGAACUCUAUAGCCAGGAAGGUCUGCAUUGGUGGCUCUCUUUCAUUUCGGAUGGUGCAGAACACUACUUUUCCUUGUCAUAUAUCAUCAAUAUUGUCAUGGUGAUUCUGUAUGUUUGUUCAGCGAAAAUGGGACGAGGACAAAUCUAUAAGCUGUCACAUGGAUUCUGGGCUAAAGAAAAAGGAAAGGAAGUAAUGGUAUCUCUUCUGUGUCUCAAUGAAGAACUGCUGAAGGCUGCAACCAGAAAUGAGAUUUGUAUAGGAACUACAGUGGGUCAAGGCAUUCAGAAAAAGAAAAAAAAAAAAAAAAAAACAAGAGAA
RNA transcript from Cornus florida, 3010 nucleotides. It is a transcript of the gene named histidinol dehydrogenase, chloroplastic-like, with no coding region annotated. The transcript is spliced from 17 exons. The record is from RefSeq and is a predicted model, not a curated record. NCBI's taxonomy places the organism in Eukaryota, Viridiplantae, Streptophyta, Magnoliopsida, Cornales, Cornaceae.